Molecule: ribosomal RNA, 761 nt
Filed under: uncultured soil bacterium
Lineage: Bacteria
Description: partial 16S ribosomal RNA
Rfam family: Bacterial small subunit ribosomal RNA
Source: RNAcentral
GACGAAUCCCAACGGCGUAGCACUACGUUGCUGGGGGAAGUGGCGAAAGGGGCAGUAAGGCGUGGGUAACCUACCCCGGGGACCGGGAUAGCCCUUCUAACGAGGGGGUAAUACCGGGCGAUCUGACCGAGGGGCAUCUUUUGGUCAGGAGAUGAAUUUCGCCUCGGGAGGGGCUCACGUGGUAUUAGCUAGACGGCGGGGUAACGGCCCACCGUGGCCAAGAUGCCUAGCGGGUGUGAGAGCACGACCCGCGCCACUGGCACUGAGACACUGGCCAGACUCCUACGGGAGGCUGCAGUCGAGGAUCUUCGGCAAUGGGCGCAAGCCUGACCGAGCGACGCCGCGUGCGCGAUGAAGGCCUUCGGGUUGUAAAGCGCUGUCGAGGGGGAGGAAAGCCGCAAGGCCUGACCUAUCCCUGGAGGAAGCACGGGCUAAGUUCGUGCCAUCAGCCGCGGUAAGACUAACCGUGCGAACGUUGUUCGGAAUCACUGGGCUUAAAGGGCGCGUAGGCGGGCCUCCCAGUCCUGGGUGAAAGCUUUCGGCUUAACCGGAAAAGUGCCUUGGAUACUGAGAGGUCUAGAGGGAGGUAGGGGCAGCCGGAACUUCCGGUGGAGCGGUGAAAUGCGUUGAUAUCUAAAAGGAACGCCAGUGGCGAAAGCGGGCUGCUGGAUCUCUACUGACGCUGAGGCGCGAAAGCCAGGUGGAGCGAACGGGAUUAAGAUACCCCGGUAGUCCCUGGGCCUAAACCGAUGAGGUACUGG